RNAcentral lists this ribosomal RNA (466 nucleotides) under uncultured bacterium. RNAcentral describes it as "partial 16S ribosomal RNA". It matches the Rfam family "Bacterial small subunit ribosomal RNA", at positions 28 to 507 of the family's 1533-position model. The record is from RNAcentral.
GACGAACGCUGGCGGCGCGCCUAACACAUGCAAGUCGAACGAGCGAGAGAGGGCUUGCUUUCUUGAGCGAGUGGCGAACGGGUGAGUAACGCGUGAGGAACCUGCCUCAAAGAGGGGGACAACAGUUGGAAACGACUGCUAAUACCGCAUAAGCCCACGGUGCCGCAUGGCACAGAGGGAAAAGGAGCAAUCCGCUUUGAGAUGGCCUCGCGUCCGAUUAGCUAGUUGGUGAGGUAACGGCCCACCAAGGCGACGAUCGGUAGCCGGACUGAGAGGUUGAACGGCCACAUUGGGACUGAGACACGGCCCAGACUCCUACGGGAAGCAGCAGUGGGGAAUAUUGCACAAUGGGGGAAACCCUGAUGCAGCGACGCCGCGUGGAGGAAGAAGGUCUUCGGAUUGUAAACUCCUGUUGUUGGGGAAGAUAAUGACGGUACCCAACAAGGAAGUGACGGCUAACUACGUG